RNAcentral lists this long non-coding RNA (577 nucleotides) under Monodelphis domestica (gray short-tailed opossum). Its description in RNAcentral is "lncRNA (ENSMODG00000034483.2)". Lineage: Eukaryota; Metazoa; Chordata; Mammalia; Didelphimorphia; Didelphidae. The record is from RNAcentral.
AUGAAAAUUAAGGUAGUAAUUCCUUGAAUAUACAGAGUGCCUUUUAUUUAGCAACUUGAAACAAUUCACCUACUUCCUCUCAUUUAUUUUCACAGAAAGCUCUUCAAGUUGACAGAGACAAAUAGUGUUGUACCCAUUCUAAAGAUGAAGGAACUGAGGCUUAAGGUGCUUAAUGUGGUUUACAAAUAUACAUCUGGCCAGUGGGACAGCAGAAAUUAGACAGGAAACUACUAAUCUCUGGCUCUUUCCAAGGGGUUUUGUAAUAGUGCCACAUGGCAAAGAAUCUAAGGUAGAUCUAAGACUAUAAGGAAUUCAGAGAACCUAUUUCCAGAAGGGGCUGUUGGUGAUGAUGCUUAAUAGAGAAGGUAUGUAUUUCUGCUCUACUUAGGAGUUUAUCUGAAUCAUAUUCACUCUCCAGGAAACCAUCAGCAUUUACUCAGAGAGAAAAUGACCUGAUUAGAAAUGACUUCUCUAAUAGCAUCUAUUUAAUGGAGCUUGUAUAAAUGUGAAUCUUGGAAAAAACAAUUGAAGAUUAGGGACCACCAAAUUUUUCAGUUUGAUUAAUAUUUUUUUAAAU